CUGCCGAGUGUCUUUAUUUUUCGCAUUCCCCAGGUGGGAAGAAAACAGAAGCAAAUCCUGCCCCUCCUCUAGAGGCAGCCAUUUUGUCUCCUCCCCAUUGUAGCCCUUUUCUUAGUGAUUUACCUCCCCAUCCAGAGGUCUAAAGGUCAGUUGUUGGUCGGAAGGCCUCCACAAUCUUCGGGGCUUCCUGAAGGUCACUGCUGAGGGAACCAACCCGGGAGCCAUCUUUACCAGACAGUGUUAGGAGCUUCACAAUUAGACCAUCCAACACUGUUCUGGAAGAUGGACCCAGAGUCGGCCAACGUGCACCUCCGGGCUAGAGCUGACCAGUUGCUACAGGGACUCUGGCCACAAGCCAGGUGAGGCUGCUUGAGAAUACUCGAGUCAAUCCCACAAACUCAAGGUCAGCUGAGGGUGCUGGAUCCACCAGAUGACAAAUCACAAUGGUUGGGGGAGGGGCUCGGGCCAUUGUGUCCCUCCGGUGGGCAACCAGCCAAUUAAGAGCCAACUCUUUUGCCGCACCUUUCGCUCAAAAUGAAGGGGCUUCCCGGGUAGUCAGUCGUUCCAGAGGGGAUUACAACUGGUAGAGAACUAGGGGCCUAGGACGAUGAAUGUCGCUGACACAGGGAUAGGGGCCUCCAUCAUUACCCGGCAGUAUUAGAGACUCCCAACCAGCACCCAAACACUGCUGGCAGUUCCUGCACCCUCCUCCCCAGCCCCUUCCUCUGUGGCUUCAGACCCUGUGCCUGGAUGGAGCAAACGGGGGCUAAAACCCUGAGCUUCCGUAGUCCCCGGAACCUGCUCGCUUGCCAUGCGCCCCUAGCACUGCCCCAGCACCUGUGACACAGCAGCCGCCCGAUGAAGAAAGCUUGCCAAGCAAGUGGAAGUCACAUCCAAGACCCUCCACCUACUCCUCAGCCUCUGAGUCAGGAGGCAGCCAGUUCCUCCUGAGCAGGCAGACCUCUCACAGGCCUAACUCACCAGGAGACUGGCAUUUUAAAUCAAGCUAGAACCCUCAAACAAAGAAGGAAUCACAGAGAGUCCACUGUGGACACAGGAGAAGGAAGAGGGUCAAAAAAAAUAAAACUGAUCAGAAAUGUGAAGGUGGCCGUGA
Molecule: long non-coding RNA, 1114 nt
Organism: Talpa occidentalis (Iberian mole)
Lineage: Eukaryota; Metazoa; Chordata; Mammalia; Eulipotyphla; Talpidae
Exons: 3
Source: RefSeq, a predicted model, not a curated record